UCCAGACUCCUACGGGAGGCAGCAGUAGGGAAUCUUUCACAAUGGGCGAAAGCCUGAUGGAGCAACGCCGCGUGCAGGAUGAAGGCCUUCGGGUUGUAAACUGCUUUUAUAAGCGAGAAAUAUGAUGGUAACUUAUGGAUAAGGAUCGGCUAACUACGUGCCAGCAGCCGCGGUAAUACGUAUGGAGCAAGCGUUAUCCGGAUUUACUGGGUGUAAAGGGAGCGCAGGCGGCCUUGCAAGUCUGAUGUGAAAGGCCGGGGCCCAACCCCGGGACUGCAUUGGAAACUGCGAGGCUGGAGUGUCGGAGAGGCAGGCGGAAUUCCUAGUGUAGCGGUGAAAUGCGUAGAUAUUAGGAGGAACACCAGUGGCGAAGGCGGCCUGCUGGACGAUGACUGACGCUGAGGCUCGAAAGCGUGGGGAGCAAACAGGAUUAGAUACCCCGGUAAGA
This 448-nucleotide ribosomal RNA is filed under the name uncultured bacterium. Its description in RNAcentral is "partial 16S ribosomal RNA". It matches the Rfam family "Bacterial small subunit ribosomal RNA", at positions 330 to 794 of the family's 1533-position model. The record is from RNAcentral.